UACAGAGGUGUCAAACGUUGUCCGGAAUUACUGGGCGUAAAGGGCGCGUAGGCGGCCUUAUAAGUCAUGUGUGAAAGCUCUGGGCUCAACCCAGGAAUUGCAUGUGAUACUGUAAGGCUCGAGUUCGGUAGAGGAGGGCGGAAUUCCAGGUGUAGCGGUGAAAUGCGUAGAUAUCUGGAGGAACACCCGUGGCGAAGGCGACAUCCUGGACCGGUAUUGACGCUGAGGCGCGAAAGCCAGGGGAGCAAACGGG
RNAcentral lists this ribosomal RNA (253 nucleotides) under uncultured bacterium. Its description in RNAcentral is "partial 16S ribosomal RNA". It matches the Rfam family "Bacterial small subunit ribosomal RNA", at positions 524 to 776 of the family's 1533-position model. The record is from RNAcentral.